Molecule: long non-coding RNA, 98 nt
Organism: Alosa sapidissima (American shad)
Lineage: Eukaryota; Metazoa; Chordata; Actinopteri; Clupeiformes; Clupeidae
Exons: 3
Source: RefSeq, a predicted model, not a curated record
ACACACACUCAAACAUACAAACAAUGCUUACCACAUUAUCAAAUGUUAUCAAACUGUAUGAUGCAUUAUAUUUAGAGACGAGAGGAGAGGAAAUGUGU